RNAcentral lists this long non-coding RNA (317 nucleotides) under Nicotiana benthamiana. RNAcentral's name for it is "long non-coding RNA (NBEN_LNC023899)". Lineage: Eukaryota; Viridiplantae; Streptophyta; Magnoliopsida; Solanales; Solanaceae. The record is from RNAcentral.
CUGAUACGGCACAGUACAAUAUGAGACGAUGGAAUGCAAUGGGAUAGAUGGUAGAGGGCUGCCUGCACCCAAAAGCGAUGGCUUUGGGAGUGUGAGAUAGGCAGACGGGGAGUACGCAGCCGAACAACCGCUGGGGUUUCCAGCAGUGAUAGCUGAACUAAUCAGAUGGGCCGCCCCAAACCUUACGCUGACAUUUUAAUCGGAAAUCAACAUCGGGUCCCGGCUAUCCGAAAAACGCAGACUGAAGCGGAAGAUCACAAAAUGCAACACAACAAGGGGGUCGUUAGACCGUAGCUUGCGCGAAGGAAGAAGCUAAU